Molecule: long non-coding RNA, 1039 nt
Organism: Oreochromis niloticus (Nile tilapia)
Lineage: Eukaryota; Metazoa; Chordata; Actinopteri; Cichliformes; Cichlidae
Exons: 2
Source: RefSeq, a predicted model, not a curated record
UGGUCCUUCGAGCCGGAUCAGAAAUAUCAGAACUGUUAUCUGUGACUCUGUUCCAAGGAUCCAGAACUGAUUCCUGACGCCGUGGGAAGCCAGCACCGAAGUCUGUGCACAGCCCUCUUAGACGAGGCCGAAAGCCCUGGGACGUUUAAAUUCGGGUCCAGGCCGGUGUUUUUAGUCUGGUCCACGGCGGUGGGAUUCAGUCUGACGAUCCGAAUCACCAGUGAGACGUCUGAGGGUGAGAGAAACACUAUUUUGUAAAACGGCCACGAAGGUUUUAAGAAACGCGUAAAAUAAAAUGAUAAAAUAGGUUAAGUUCGCCAAAAGGCCAAAAGAACUAAGUUUAGACCAGUUUCAGAGGUAGCCGAAAUUAUCUCGUGACAAAUUAUUAAAGAAACGCGUAAAAUAGGUUAAGUUCGCCAAAAAGAACUAAGUUUAGACCAGUUUUAGAGGUAGCCGAAAUUAUCUCGUGACAAAUUAUUUAAGAAACGCGUAAAAUAGGUUAAGUUCGCCAAAAGGCCAAAAGAACUAAGUUUAGACCAGUUUCAGAGGUAGCUGUUAAAUACUUCGUAACAAAUUAGCGCGCAAAUGUCUAUCUGUGUGUAUGUGUGUAUGUGUCUAGAAGUAAGUUGAUUUUACAGCACAAUACGCUGCUGAACUACUUCUAUUUUAUUUGUUUUCUUUGCUGAGGCUCACGUACUGGUGACAAAGGAGAACGGUUGGGUUUCAUCUCAUAAAACUGGUACCGCUUCACCUAUAGGGUGAAGUCGAAGGCCGUAUCAGUAAACCACUCCGAAGUCAGGCGUGCCAAUGACAGCCCAGCAAAAUCUUUGACAAUGGGGAAUAAACAAGCAAAAUUAACACCUGAUGAGGAAUAUUUAGAAAAACAACAAACCGGAGCAGGUAGAAUAAGUGCAAAUAGGUGGAGAAAUCCACAAAAAGCUAAAAACCACAGCUGGGAAGGGAAAUGCAAUCCCUCAGCUGUUACCCAGCUGAAAGCUGUCCUGAAACAAGAAAUUACAUUAACAAAAGACCCAAAGAA